RNAcentral lists this ribosomal RNA (338 nucleotides) under uncultured Pseudomonadota bacterium. RNAcentral's name for it is "bacterial SSU rRNA". It matches the Rfam family "Bacterial small subunit ribosomal RNA", at positions 28 to 351 of the family's 1533-position model. The record is from RNAcentral. Lineage: Bacteria; Pseudomonadati; Pseudomonadota.
GACGAACGCUGGCGGCGUGCCUAACACAUGCAAGUCAGGGAGAAAGGGGUAGCAAUAUCCCGAGUAAACCGGCGCAAGGGUGAGUAACGCGUAGGUAAUCUGCCCUUAGGACGGGAAUAACUCAUCGAAAGGUGGGCUAAUACCGAAUAACGCUGUGAGACCUUGGUCGAUCAGCCAAAGAGAGCCUCUGCUUGCAUGCCCUUGCUGAAGGAUGAGUCCGCGUACCAUUAGCUUGUUGGUAGGGUAAUGGCCUACCAAGGCGACGAUGGUUAGCUGGUCUGAGAGGAUGAUCAGCCACACUGGAACUGAGACACGGUCCAGACUCCUACGGGAGGCUG